RNAcentral lists this long non-coding RNA (1071 nucleotides) under Pongo abelii (Sumatran orangutan). RNAcentral describes it as "lincRNA". The record is from RNAcentral. Lineage: Eukaryota; Metazoa; Chordata; Mammalia; Primates; Hominidae.
AGACAGCAGAGGAGACUGUCAGCAGACCACCUUGGAGGGGAUGCUAGGAGCUGCCGAAUGUGUGAUUCAAAGAUUAAUUCCAUGUGUUUGGAGAAGAAGCCCUAUCCUCAACACAAAGGUUGGCCACAUUCCAGCCAAGGUAGCACGGAGUGAAGGCCCGCGGAGGGAGUGCUGGGCUUUCCUGAACUACUUCAGUACACCUUGCUGUGCCUCGGCCUGCUGUGUUUCAUCCCCAUGGCUGUCCUCAGUGAUGUGCAUGGUCACUGCUCCCUUCACCGCUGAGAAGACGGGCACAGGACAGUCAGGGGACGUGUCCAGGGUCCCACAGCAGGAAGGGCUGGAGCCAGAAUGUGGUCUGAGAGGCUGGAUAUACAAAGAGACAAUGGCGUGACCAUCUGUACAAAUGGAACUAUGGCCCACAACCUGAAGCAGCCAGCCCAGGAAGCCAACCCAUUACCUGCAGCAGCCAGGCUGGACGCUGGCCUGCCCUCGCUGAUAGUCAAGUCUAGUUCUACGUGGCUCCAAACACCUCCACCAUGAGCUCAAGGCAGUGACUGACUGAAAAACCCUAUUAUAGACCACAACAUUGAACCCAACAUCCCCCUAAGUAAAUUGUACUCACAUCAUUGGUCUUAUGGGGAAAUUUUAAGACCUCCCACUUGCAAGGUUUUAUAACCCUCUAUGGAAUUUUGAAGAAAGAGUAAAAUGCAUCCAAAAAAAAAAAAAACUAAACUGGAUAAAUUCUAAGGCCUCUUCAGGUCUUAAGAUGGCCAUUUUCUAGGUCCUCUUGUUGCAGCAGUGAAAUCCACAAACAUGGACAAGUCAGUCAAUUACGUACCUUUCAGAGAAAACUUCUGACUUAGGAAUUCCAGCUAUUUCGCCCAACCCAUAUUAGACUGUGUUAUAAAGACAUGGUAAAUUACAUCACGAAGGGAAGAGCAGAGGAAACAUAAUAUUCCUUCAAGACCCAUCAGCUCAGAUGUUAGCAGAACACUCCUAAGGAGGAAAACAAGAAAUUUUGGGUUUGAACUUGGUACUUCCCAGCAGCCCUGGGAGUGGGGUCAGAAGCCC